AUUGAACGCUGGCGGCAGGCCUAACACAUGCAAGUCGAGCGGAUGAAGGGAGCUUGCUCCUGGAUUCAGCGGCGGACGGGUGAGUAAUGCCCAGGAAUCUGCCUGGCAGUGGGGGAUAAUGUCCGGAAAAGGGUGCUACUACUGCAUACGUCGUGAGGGAGAAAGAGGGGGAUGUUCGGACCUCUCGCUCUGAGAUGAGCCUAGGCCGGAGUAGCUAGCUGGUGGGGUAAAGGCCUACCAAGGAGAAGAUCCGUAACUGGUCUGCGUGGAUGAUCAGUCACACGGGAACUGAGACACGGUCCUGGCUCCUGCGGGAGGCAGCAGUGGGGAAUAUUGGACAAUGGGCGAGAGCCUGAUCCAGCCAGGCCGCGUGUGUGAAAAAGGUCUUCGGAUUGUAAAGCACGUUAAGUUGUGAGGAAGGGCAGUAAGUUAAUACCUUGCUGUUUUGACGGUACCGACAGAAUAAGCACCGGCUAACUUCGUG
This 484-nucleotide ribosomal RNA is filed under the name uncultured bacterium. RNAcentral's name for it is "partial 16S ribosomal RNA". It matches the Rfam family "Bacterial small subunit ribosomal RNA", at positions 30 to 507 of the family's 1533-position model. The record is from RNAcentral.